UUAAAAUUGCCCACCGACCCUUGAGCCUUCCAAAUGCCCUCUCAACAAUAUUCCUAGCUCUAGCAUGGCACAAGUUGAAGUACUCCUCAGCACUAUGUGGUGGGUUUUGAGUAGUGAAACCUCCUAGAUGAUACCUCUGUCCUCGAUAUGGUGCUAAGAAACCAUUUGCAUUUGUGUAACCAGCAUCAACAAGAUAAUAGCAACCUUAACAUGGAAAAAAGAAAGUAUAAGUUUAAUACCAAUAACUAUGCCUAAAUAAUUGUUUUUUCAAUAUGAAGGGACAGAACUCGCCUUGAGGGACACGUAAUCCAUUCGGCCUCGAGAUGGCAUCUCGAAGCACACGCCCGUCAUGUGCAGAACCCUCCCAACCAGGUAAGACAUAUAUAAACUGCAUGUCAGGUGCACAAACACCCAACACAUUUGUCACAAUUUCUCCUUUUCUUGACCUAUAUCUCCCCUUCAACUUAGUUGGGACAGUCACCUUUACAUGUGUGCCAUCCAAUGCACCCAAACAACUCUAUUAUAAUCCAAAUAACAAAUAGUAUUAAUAUUGUUCACCUAUUAGUAUAAUCUAUUCGAUAGAUUUCUAUUAACAAGUUUGAUACCUUGAAGUGAUUCCAUCUAAAGUCUGUGCAGCCCUCAGGUAUAGGUUCUGGUUUCUUAAGGAGCAAUUGGUGAAGCUUCAAUACUGCUAGGAGGCAUGCAUUGAAGUUUCUGCUCACUGUCUCACCACU
Molecule: long non-coding RNA, 734 nt
Filed under: Zea mays
Lineage: Eukaryota; Viridiplantae; Streptophyta; Magnoliopsida; Poales; Poaceae
Description: long non-coding RNA (ZMAY_LNC001787)
Source: RNAcentral